RNAcentral lists this ribosomal RNA (444 nucleotides) under uncultured bacterium. RNAcentral describes it as "partial 16S ribosomal RNA". It matches the Rfam family "Bacterial small subunit ribosomal RNA", at positions 339 to 795 of the family's 1533-position model. The record is from RNAcentral.
CUACGGGACGCUCCAGUGGGGAAUAUUGCACAAUGGGCGAAAGCCUGAUGCAGCAACGCCGCGUGAGGGAUGAAGGCCUUCGGGUUGUAAACCUCUUUUAGCAGGGAAGAAGCGAAAGUGACGGUACCUGCAGAAAAAGCACCGGCUAACUAGCGUGCCAGCAGCCGCGGUAAUACGUAGGGUGCAAGCGUUGUCCGGAAUUAUUGGGCGUAAAGAGCUCGUAGGCGGUUUGUCGCGUCUGCUGUGAAAACCUGAGGCUCAACCUCAGGCCUGCAGGGGGUACGGGCAAGGUAGAGGGCGGUAGGGGAGAUGGAAUUCCUGGUGGAGCGGUGGAAUGCGGAGAUAUCAGGAGGAACACCAAUGGCGAAGGCACAUCUCUGGGCCGUAACUGACGCUGAGGAGCGAAAGCGUGGGGAGCGAACAGGAUUAGAUACCCCGGUAGUC